RNAcentral lists this ribosomal RNA (325 nucleotides) under uncultured bacterium. RNAcentral's name for it is "bacterial SSU rRNA". It matches the Rfam family "Bacterial small subunit ribosomal RNA", at positions 373 to 710 of the family's 1533-position model. The record is from RNAcentral.
GGGCGCAAGCCUGAUGCAGCGACGCCGCGUGAGGGAUGGAGGCCUUCGGGUUGUAAACCUCUUUUAUCGGGGAGCAAGCGUGAGUGAGUUUACCCGUUGAAUAAGCACCGGCUAACUACGUGCCAGCAGCCGCGGUAAUACGUAGGGUGCAAGCGUUAUCCGGAAUUAUUGGGCGUAAAGGGCUCGUGGGCGGUUCGUCGCGUCUGCCGUGAAAUCCUCUGGCUUAACUGGGGGCGUGCGGUGGGUACGGGCAGGCUUGAGUGCGGUAGGGGAGACUGGAACUCCUGGUGUAGCGGUGGAAUGCGCAGAUAUCAGGAAGAACACC